RNAcentral lists this ribosomal RNA (653 nucleotides) under uncultured prokaryote. Its description in RNAcentral is "bacterial SSU rRNA". It matches the Rfam family "Bacterial small subunit ribosomal RNA", at positions 28 to 670 of the family's 1533-position model. The record is from RNAcentral.
AUUGAACGCUGGCGGCAGGCCUAACACAUGCAAGUCGAGCGGUAACACAGAGGAGCUUGCUCCUUGGGUGACGAGCGGCGGACGGGUGAGUAAUGCCUGGGGAUCUGCCCGAUAGAGGGGGAUAACUACGGGAAACUGUAGCUAAUACCGCAUAAUGUCUACGGACCAAAGUGGGGGAUCUUCGGACCUCAUGCUAUCGGAUGAACCCAGGUGGGAUUAGCUAGUUGGUGAGGUAAUGGCUCACCAAGGCGACGAUCUCUAACUGGUUUGAGAGAAUGACCAGUCACACUGGAACUGAGACACGGUCCAGACUCCUACGGGAGGCAGCAGUGGGGAAUAUUGCACAAUGGGCGCAAGCCUGAUGCAGCCAUGCCGCGUGUGUGAAGAAGGCCUUCGGGUUGUAAAGCACUUUCAGCGGGGAGGAAGGGUCACUAGUUAAUACCUAGUGGCAUUGACGUUACUCGCAGAAGAAGCACCGGCUAACUCCGUGCCAGCAGCCGCGGUAAUACGGAGGGUGCAAGCGUUAAUCGGAAUUACUGNGCGUAAAGCGCACGCAGGCGGUUUGUUAAGUCAGAUGUGAAAUCCCCGAGCUCAACUUGGGAACUGCAUUUGAAACUGGCAAGCUAGAGUCUUGNAGAGGGGGGUAGAAUUCC